Molecule: ribosomal RNA, 250 nt
Filed under: uncultured bacterium
Lineage: Bacteria
Description: partial 16S ribosomal RNA
Rfam family: Bacterial small subunit ribosomal RNA
Source: RNAcentral
UACGGAGGGUGCAAGCGUUGCUCGGAAUUAUUGGGCGUAAAGGGUAGGUAGGUGGUCUCGUUUGUCUGGGGUGAAAGCCUUGAGCUUAACUCAAGAAGUGCCUCAGAAACGGCGAGACUAGAGUUCUGGAGAGGGUCGUGGAAUUCCCGGUGUAGCGGUGAAAUGCGUAGAGAUCGGGAGGAACACCAGAGGCGAAGGCGGCGACCUGGACAGAUACUGACACUCAACUACGAAAGCGUGGGUAGCAAAC